Molecule: small RNA, 3398 nt
Filed under: Pongo abelii (Sumatran orangutan)
Lineage: Eukaryota; Metazoa; Chordata; Mammalia; Primates; Hominidae
Description: retained intron
Source: RNAcentral
CCUCCUGCAGCCUCCUGCGCCCCGCCGAGCUGGCGGAUGGAGCUGCGCAGCGGGAGCGUGGGCAGCCAGGCGGUGGCGCGGAGGAUGGAUGGGGACAGCCGAGAUGGCGGCGGCGGCAAGGACGCCACCGGGUCGGAGGACUACGAGAACCUGCCGACCAGCGCCUCCGUGUCCACCCACAUGACAGCCGGAGCGAUGGCCGGGAUCCUGGAGCACUCGGUCAUGUACCCGGUGGACUCGGUGAAGACACGAAUGCAGAGUUUGAGUCCAGAUCCCAAAGCCCGGUAUACAAGUAUCUACGGAGCCCUCAAGAAAAUCAUGCGGACUGAAGGCUUCUGGAGGCCCUUGCGGGGCGUCAACGUCAUGAUCAUGGGUGCAGGGCCGGCCCACGCCAUGUAUUUUGCCUGCUAUGAAAACAUGAAAAGGACUUUAAAUGACGUUUUCCACCACCAAGGAAACAGCCACCUAGCCAACGGUAUUUUGAAAGCAUUUGUCUGGAGUUAGAAAGUUCUCUUCUUCAACACGUCCCUCCCCAGGGUGUUCCUCCCUGUGACCCAGCCGCCUCGACUUCGGCCCGCUUGCUCACGAAUAAAGAACUCAGAGUUGUGUGUGCAACGCACACCCAGACACACGCACACACACGCGCGCGCACACACAUGGUUUUUUCUGUUCCCCUCCGCUUUCUGAAGCCUGGGGAGAAAUCAGUGACAGAGGUGUUUUGGUUUUACUGUUAUGUGGGUUUUCUUUUCUAUUUUUUUGUUUGUUUUGUUUUUAAACAUUCAAAAGCAAUUAAUGAUCAGACAUAGGAGAAACCCUGAAUAGAAACAAAACUUUUGAAUGCUGGAUUCAAAAAAAAAAAAAGUUAUCUGGACAGCUUCUUUGAGACUAUUUAAAAACUGGUACAACAGGUCUCUACAACGCCAAGAUCUAACUAAGCUUUAAAAGGUCAAGAAGUUUUAUGGCUGACAAAGGACUCGCGCAACGCAGAAGGCCUUUCCCACCUUAAGCUUCCGGGGAUUUGGGAAUUUUACCCCCAUUCUCUUCUGUUUGUCUGAGUCUCAUCUCUCUGCAAGCAAGGGCUGAAAUCAUUUUGUUUGGUUGUUUUGAGGGAGAAAGGCGGGGUGGGGGGGUGCAAAUCUGCCAGCAGCUCUUACAUAAGGCCUGUUUUAUUGGGGAGGGCUGAGCUUUUAUUUUCUCCUCUCCAGUGGGGUUGGCUUUUGUUGUUUCUUGUUUGGGUUUGGAAUGGAAAUAUGGAUAGCAGCAUAAAGUACUUUUAUUUUGACAAAAUUCAUUUUUUUCAACAAUGGAGACAUAGAUAUGACCAACAAUAACUUCUCCCCCUCUCUUUUUACUCUGCUCAAAAAGCAUCUCUCCUCCCAUUACCCAACCUUGGUCAUAAGUGUGCCUGGCUGGUUUGCAGAUACUUGUUUUGCUUUGUAAAAAUUGGCCAUUAGUGCAUUUAUUGAGAUGAUCUCUAAAGAGCUAUGCCCUGACCUACCCCUGAUUCUAUGACAUUGGGGCCCUUCUUUUGCUGAAACUGCCUUAUGUAACGGUUUCGCUCCUUGAAAGAGAUUUGACGGAAUCCAUUUUAUGCCAAGUGCUGCCCUGCGCUGUUUCUGCAAUGUGUGGUGUAUGCUGUGGUGAUCUCGCUGGGAAUGAUUAUAAGUGUGUGUGUGGUGGGGGAGUGGGUAUUACAUGCAUUGCUGAAGAGUCAUCCUGGUGUUCCUCAUUCCUCCCCCUUCCCGUGGUCAUUUUAAUUACGGGGCAGUGUCACCGCAAAGGGAGGAAACUCAAAGCCAAAAGCAAAAUUCCAGGCCUGAUUCUGGCUUUUGAGGUUCCUGGUUCUUGAAGCCAGGCCUGACCCGACUCUCAGAUGGGGUCAGUCCCGUCGCUUUGCAGACUGACCCUGGAAAUCUACAAAAUGCAGAUUCUCCUGAUUUCCUCUUCUCUUGCCCAGUUUUUUUUUUUUUUUUUUUUUUAAAGCCUGGAUUUUAACCAGAUUUUCUUUUUUCCCCCUUCUCAGCUGUAGAUAUGAUAUUAUCUCCUUUCAGGGCCCCAGCUUAAGGGCAAAGUGAGUUAAUGUGUAGACAAAGGCAAGGGACGAGAGAGAGUUAACAUCUAGACAGUGGAAAAAGCCAUGGUGUGUGGUUUCUGGGAACCACCAACACUUGCAGGUUUAGGUUUUUCCCAGGGUUGACUACAAGAAAGAAAACCAUAUUUUUGCAAGAUUAAAAUGUGGGUGAGUGUGCCUAAAUUAACCAUCCCCAUUUUUAUCAUAUUUCCAGCAUCACUUUAGGGUUUUAAGAGUCAGUGCUCACCUGGGCGGAGCUGGUAGUACAUUUUGCUUCUUAGAAAGCUAAGUCCUGGGUUCCGUCUGAUUUUAGGUUCCAGGAACUUCCUGAGAACACCUGAUCGCAGAGGGUAAUUUUCUGGAGUUUGUUUUGCAGGGAUAGCUGGGAGUAUGGCCACCCUGCUCCACGAUGCGGUAAUGAAUCCAGCAGAAGUGGUGAAGCAGCGCUUGCAGAUGUACAACUCGCAGCACCGGUCAGCAAUCAGCUGCAUCCGGACGGUGUGGAGGACCGAGGGGUUGGGGGCCUUCUACCGGAGCUACACCACACAGCUGACCAUGAACAUCCCCUUCCAGUCCAUCCACUUCAUCACCUACGAGUUCCUGCAGGAGCAGGUCAACCCCCACCGGACCUACAACCCGCAGUCCCACAUCAUCUCAGGCGGGCUGGCCGGGGCCCUCGCCGCGGCCGCCACGACCCCCCUGGACGUCUGUAAGACCCUUCUCAACACUCAGGAGAACGUGGCCCUCUCGCUGGCCAACAUCAGCGGCCGGCUGUCGGGCAUGGCCAAUGCCUUCCGGACGGUGUACCAGCUCAACGGCCUGGCCGGCUACUUCAAAGGCAUCCAGGCGCGUGUCAUCUACCAGAUGCCCUCCACUGCCAUUUCUUGGUCUGUCUAUGAGUUCUUCAAGUACUUCCUCACCAAGCGCCAGCUGGAAAAUCGAGCUCCAUACUAAAGGAACAGGCUGUGGGAAGGGAUCAUAGAAUCUUUUCUUAAAGUCAUUCUCUGCCUGCAUCCAGCCCCUUGCCCUCUCCUCACACCUAGAUCAUUUUUGUUUUUGCAGGGUGCUGCCUAUGGGCCCUCUGCUCUCCAAUGCCUUAGAGAGAGGAGGGGACGGGACGGCCGCUCACCGGAAGGCUGUCUGCAGGGACAUCCGAGGUGGUGGUGGACAGGAAAGACUUGGGAAGGGGAGCGAGAAAUUGCUUUUUCUCUUCCUCCCUGGGCAGAAUGUAGCUUUUCUGCUUCACUGUGGCAGCCUCCUCCCUGGAUCCUUAGAUCCCAGAGGAGGGAAGAAAAUUUGCAGUGACCGAAAACAGUAAAAAAAAAAA